UCUAACGGCGGUUCUACAUCCGGCGAGGACUCCACAUCCAGCGACGGUUCCGGCGAGUGCGAACCGUUACCUGUCUGGUUUCUAAUAGUUUUUCUCACUCGAACGUAGAAUGGAUUGUCGAAUGUCUGUGACCAGUUACCUACUUUCAACGCUCUCACCACUCGAAGAAGGUUUUCCUUUUCUCCAUCGACAAAAGUUUCACCGCAUACGUCGCUGUGUUCGAUCCAUAAGAAACGAGUGAACACGUCAAUAACGACAAGGAGAAAGCGAUAACCAGAAUUCUGCUUUGAGAGGGAGGAAACGUCUGCAAGAUCUACAUCGUAUUGCUCAUAAGGACCGGAAACUUCUACUCGCGCUCUCUUAAAUGAACGCCUUGGAGGUUUCUGUAAACUGUAAUCAUCGAGACUUUGGAUAUAACGUCUAAUCUUAUAAAGACCUGGUGAUUUAAAUCCUUGUGAUUUCAAUAUCUGAUGUACUUUCGUGGGACUGAGAAAUGCACCGCCGUUCUUAAAGUCGUAAUAUACCGCGUCUACACGACGCUUCUCCUCUGCUGUUAACAUAAUGAUAAUGAGACAAAAAAUAUAUAUACAUAAUCUUUUAUU
Mizuhopecten yessoensis (Yesso scallop) is the source of this 602-nucleotide long non-coding RNA. RefSeq lists it as uncharacterized. NCBI's taxonomy places the organism in Eukaryota, Metazoa, Mollusca, Bivalvia, Pectinida, Pectinidae. The record is from RefSeq and is a predicted model, not a curated record. The transcript is spliced from 3 exons.